RNAcentral lists this long non-coding RNA (625 nucleotides) under Nicotiana benthamiana. Its description in RNAcentral is "long non-coding RNA (NBEN_LNC029065)". Lineage: Eukaryota; Viridiplantae; Streptophyta; Magnoliopsida; Solanales; Solanaceae. The record is from RNAcentral.
AUCAAUGUAUAUAUACCUUUAGAAAACGUGGCAGUCACAUGGCUUAAGUCAUAAGAAGUAGACAAGUGAUACAAUUUGAGAAUGUAAAAGGAAUCAAAAGCAAUGUGGUCUUCUUGGAGAAGUUUAUCGCUCGAAGACCUUUGUGAAAAUUUUGUCCAAAGAGUGUAUAUACAACAGCCUAACUAAGUAGUGGAGAAAAGUUACAUUGAAAUUACAAGAUGCUGCUUGAUUUCCCCAGCUCAUUUGGGUAUGGUUGGAAUGCAGUCUUAACAGUAGCAGAUUUCCAUAGCUUCAUGAAACAUCUUCUCUUGCAUGAACUCCAAGGAUGAGUGAGAUUCAUUAUUCAUAGUAGUAAUGAAGGGUACUUCUGCUGCUACUAAGUUUUUCUGUUGUUGGAAAAUGCAUUUGUUACUCAAAACCCACUUUGAAAAGGAUGAGAAUGGUGCAGGAUGAGAUGGAGGAUGAAGAUGAGCAGCUGUUUCUUGAGAGAUUAUUGAUCUUCUGCUUUGAUGGCCAAGCAUUAGCAUUGCUGCUGUUGGUGCCAUUGAAUUGUGUUAUGAGUAAAGAGAUUGCUGAAUGAUGCAAUUGGUGUAUGUAGAGUUAAAUGAAAUUGUAGCUAGAUUUA